Molecule: transfer RNA, 57 nt
Filed under: Fragilariopsis kerguelensis
Lineage: Eukaryota; Bacillariophyta; Bacillariophyceae; Bacillariales; Bacillariaceae
Description: partial tRNA
Rfam family: tRNA
About the family: Transfer RNA (tRNA) molecules are approximately 80 nucleotides in length. Their secondary structure includes four short double-helical elements and three loops (D, anti-codon, and T loops).
Source: RNAcentral
CAGUAGCUCAGAGGCAGAGUGUUGGGCUCAUAACCCAAAGGUCCGUGGAUCGAAACC